UGUGUGCAGAUGCGUGUGAAGCAGGCGAGCGCUGCGUGUAAAGUCAGACCGUGGAGUGCAGGUUUGGUCCGUGAACGCGCCGUGUGUGUCGAGUGUCAGAGCGACGCCAUGGCGGCCGAUAACCGUUGCCGUGGAGACGGACUGCUGAACAUCAGAACCUUCUGGGCCGCUGCGUCAGCACCCGGUUGCUCCGGGUCGUGGGUUCGAGAGUCUUUCACUGAGGACUGCCGGUGUCCGUCGUACUCCGUGAUUUUUGUCUGAACCGACACGGCCUUUAAAGCUCAUUUCGAGGGACAAGGGAGUCAUUUCAUGCCUUUUGAAGCCAAAUUCUCCAUCAAAAGAACUGCAAUGACGCCACAGCGUAUCUGUGUAUCAGUUCGUAACCAACACACAACCCUGCUUUCCCAAGCUCUUCUAUCUACCUCCAGUUCUCCACAUGCACCUGCACCCGUUUCUGAUGCCUUAUAUCAUAGUCAGGGCUCGACAUUAAGGCUUGUCCGCUUGUUCGGGACAAGUAGAAGAGAAAAUUAUUUGUCCGACCGGACAAGUUAAAUUUCAAAUUAAAUAAAAUGCCAUGUUACUUCACGUUAUGUGCCACUCGUUACGUCUAUUUUUUUACGUCGAUUUGAAACGAACACAUUUUUCGCUUGCCUGUGAAUGUGACUCACAGAAAGACGUGUGCCAGUAUAAUGCGCAUGCACAGAAGUUCUUUCACGCUUGAACGAACAUCAACAACACACACAAUUAAGCCAAAAUGUAAUUUGUCGAGUAUCUUCAUAACAUAAGAGCAGUCUUACGAUGGACAUAAAGAGUUGUGACUCGUGAGAAAGAGACGCGUGUGAGAUCCGCGUCUCUGUCCACAGUGGCUGAUCUUAAAGGGCCAGCUACCAAUAAAGCGUUCAGUCAGUAAAGUUAAUGAAAGAACAAAGGGACUAGAGAAAAUUACUCACUGCUCUUGACUAAAGAACUUGUGUAGCUUUAAUAAGGAGUAGUCUAUAUAAUUUAUAAUUUAUGCAGCGCAGACUGUUUGAUAACUUUAUUCAGUUUCUGUAUGUAACCGGUGGCUCGCGACACCAGUUAUAAUAAUACUUGUCUGCGUUGUGUAGAUAAAGACACUGGACCACAGGCGGCGAUUUCACUGGGUUUACUCUCUGAUACACAAAACACAUAGGAUAGUCUUGAGUGAGACGCUCCUAUAUAUCACUAUAAAACAAAUGUGACGUACAUUUAGUCACCAUGUGCUUUUAUCUCCACAUAUAUGGAUCAAAGUCAAAAAUAUAACUCAAUCAGGACAAAAUCACCGAAAUAACCAUACAGAUAUGUAAAGUAACCCAAUAUGCAUGCAUUGAAGUGAAAAUAUAAACAUAAAACCAAUGAUUAAAGUGAAGAUUAAUUAAGAUUAA
Molecule: non-coding RNA, 1403 nt
Organism: Pimephales promelas (fathead minnow)
Lineage: Eukaryota; Metazoa; Chordata; Actinopteri; Cypriniformes; Leuciscidae
Source: RefSeq, a predicted model, not a curated record